UGACACAGGGAGGUAGUGACAAGAAAUAACAAUACAGGGCUAUUUUAGUCUUGUAAUUGGAAUGAGUACAAUUUACAUCUCUUCACGAGGAUCAAUUGGAGGGCAAGUCUGGUGCCAGCAGCCGCGGUAAUUCCAGCUCCAAUAGCGUAUAUUAAAGUUGUUGCAGUUAAAACGCUCGUAGUCGGGUUUCGGGUCGGGCCGAGCGGUCUGCCGAUGGGUAUGCACUGUUUGGCGCGGCCUUCUUUCCGAAGACCGCGGCUACUCUUAACUGAGCGGGCGUGGGAGACGGAUCGUUUACUUUGAAAAAAUCAGAGUGUUUCAAGCAGGCAGUCGCUCUUGCAUGGAUUAGCAUGGGAUAAUGAAAUAGGACUCUGGUGCUAUUUUGUUGGUUUCGACC
Molecule: ribosomal RNA, 397 nt
Filed under: Haptophyta sp.
Lineage: Eukaryota; Haptophyta
Description: SSU rRNA
Rfam family: Eukaryotic small subunit ribosomal RNA
Source: RNAcentral